Ostrea edulis (European flat oyster) is the source of this 1030-nucleotide long non-coding RNA. RefSeq lists it as uncharacterized. The transcript is spliced from 3 exons. The record is from RefSeq and is a predicted model, not a curated record. Lineage: Eukaryota; Metazoa; Mollusca; Bivalvia; Ostreida; Ostreidae.
AUGAGAUGGAAACCAAUGUAAUUGAGACGAAAAGGGAGUACAACUCGAAAUAUCAAGGAAAUACAAGAAAGGCCUUUGUGAUCAGCAGAUGAUGUCCUAUACAACCAUCCUUCCAUGACACAUGCAAUGGGAAGUUUAUUUCAGGAAACAAAGCCUGUCUGAAACUCCAAAAUGACACUUCCAGAAAGCUGAAGAAUGGAUAAAAAUGUAUCUACCAUCUUACAACCCAGAUUUCAUUCCACUGAAAAGAAAAGGGACAGGAAAUUUUGCAUGUCCAUGUCUUGGAAGGUGAAUAGGUGGAAAGUCAAUAGAUGCUUACCAGAUCAGAUGCUUGCAGAGAAUGGAGAAACUUGAAUGAAAUCAAGAUGGUAGCAAUAGAACAGAGUUGAUUGGAGAGAGUCUCGGUCCUAUGUGUUUUGGCAUGGAGAGAACUAAGUUAAAUGUCUAGAUUGUUGGAGAUAGGAUGACCAGGAAUAUGAAUGGAUGUGAUGGAAACUGUACUAAGACCCUUAUGUAUUUGGAUAGAUUUACAUACCAUCAUGAUUUUGCUAUGAAAAACUUGAAAAAAAUCCUCAACUCAUAUUGUAGCUGACAUUGUACAUUUGUACUUAUUAAUAUUUCAAAUGAACAUGUUUUUAGACAUACAAUAUCUAAACUUUGGAGUCCAUGUACAUCUCCACAUUGGAUAAUAGGUUAUGAUAUAUGUGUGUGAAAUCUUUUCCUAUGGUAUGCACAUGUUAACACAUUAGUUUAAGUGAUGAUGUAUAUCUUAUGACUAUGGAAGAGAAUGUGUUCAGAACAGAAUAUGCGUCUAGAAGAGUUGUUGCCCUUGAAUGUAAUUUAUUAUUUACAUGGAGUUGAAAAAUAAUCCAGCACACAGUAGUACUAAAUGCAUUAUGUAAAAAUACAUUUAUGAAUGGUAUAAAUGAUACUGUCAAUUACUGAUUAAUACACUUUGUGAAAUCAUAUUAUUGUUAUGUUUAAUAAAUUUCAAGGCUGCACCUUUGUACAUUUUACAAUAUAAUAUUCU